This 95-nucleotide non-coding RNA is filed under the name Erythrolobus australicus. Lineage: Eukaryota; Rhodophyta; Bangiophyceae; Porphyridiales; Porphyridiaceae. The record is from RNAcentral.
CAUCGUCGACACCGACCUGAGUGGCGCAUCGAACGAGGGACCUGCGACGCACCAAGGCUCCACCGACCUCGACCGGGACGCGCUCGAGCUAGGAG